CCUGCCCUUAAUACGCUUAGGCUGUGGAUAAAUACGUUUAAAUGCCAAGGGGAAAAACUAAGGAGAAGAUGAAAAUCUGUUGAGAGAAGAUACAGAACUCAUGAUAGGAGGUGAAAUGAAAGUGGCCAGAAUCCGGAGCCAAGGUGGAGGAUUUCACUUAGGGAGAGAAGGCACAGUAUUUCUGAGUUGGAUGAGACAAUAAGAACUAGAAGAGGAUCUAAGCCUUACUUAGCAUCGUUUUUUUCAAAUGGACAGUUCAGCCCCUGAGCUCAGCUUCUUGUCCCCGCUGACUUGUGCACGGAAUGGAGAAGCCAACAUCACAGAGUUCCCUUAAUGAACACUGAAGUCACUAGAGACUCCAUCAUUUAAAGUACCACUCAGUAAUUGACUAUCGGAAGAAAAAAAUUGUACCCAGACGGUAGGAACAGGAUUCAUAAAUGGAUGGUCUGUGCUUCCCUGCUAACCAGCCCUCUGUCCCUCAAGACAUUUAUGAUCUGUUCCAACAACUGAAAAAUGGGGAGUUAGAGUACACAAUAUAUGAAAGCUUAUAUUCCUCCUGCCAUAAAUGUCUACUUUAGAACCAAGAUCUGAAGAGAAUAAUCAUCUUUACCUCUACUCUGCUUGCGUCUACCUUGGCCCUACAUUGAGCAAAUUCCAUCGAUAACAGUUGCUUUGACGGAAGACUGUAGAGGUUAUAAGCCAGUGAGUAGAGAAGCCCUUUGAGGAACUGUAAUUAAUGAGGGAAGCCAAACACAGACAGAUAUGCUAUGUCCCGGCAAGGGAAGUAUCCAAUGGCCAGCCUUCAGAGUACAGUCAGUGUGAUGUUUUGCCUGGAGACUGCUGUUAUCCCAAAUGAGAAGGAAUGUGUGGUACUAUUAGAAAUGAAUACAUCAAGCUAUAGUCAAACACCAGGAGAUAAAUGGGGAUGGAAAUGCAUUUCUCUCAAAUGAACAUACAUUUCUCCAGAAAAAAGGUUACCAGAUUACUCACUUCAUUGAACGUAAUUAUUUUAUACGUUAAGAAAGCAUAAUUAUUUUAUGGUUUAAUAUGAUCUUAAAGAUAAUAUAGCUCAACUCCUGUUGUCUCGUUUCCCUUUCUUGUACUCACAUUAUACAUGGAUAUUGAGGAUGGAUGAAAUUAUGUGUAUUAAAGGUCAUGCUAUUAUUAUUGACAAGGAGACAACCAAAAUAUCUGACCUGCAAUUUGUGUGUUUUUGCCCACUACACCAUUCUAUUUCUUCCCAAAUUUGGGGUUUUUAAAUGGCAGUGACUUAUGGUGAAUCCAAGUCUUCUAAGCCAAAUUUUCCAUUAGUUCCUUUUAAUCUGUGCAUGAGUAAUAUGACCAGCAAAUCUGGUUGAGAUAAGGGGCAUUCACAAAGUUCAAGGGACAUGUUCAAGACUGUGUAUAUACUUAGCAUAAGAGCCAGGAUCAUAAAUCAAACGUAAGACUCUAUAGUCAGUACAUCUUUCACUAUAUCUCACAGCUUUUGGUCUAAACGUGCAUUCAAGCCAGAGCAUAUUACCAUGCUGGGGGAAAGGCGAGGGUAGUUAUGGCCAAAAUAUGUAAAUGAGCACCUGCUGAAGACCACCAGAGCCAUCUGCUGCUUGGAUUCUCAUACUCAUUUGCCGAUCUCUUAAUGCUCGCUUUCUCUCUCAGUUUUUCAGGAUGUGAAGGGAGGGCCACAUUCUGUACAGAUUUUAAGGCAUUAGCAAUCAUUGAGAUUACCUCAUAAUGAGCUUGUUGAAGAAGGACCCGCUUGAUUUAGUGUAGUAGGGUCAGUCCCAAACUGCUUGAAGACUCUGUGGGUCAUUCUUAGAAAGCAGCUUAUAAGAAUACUUGAAGUUGGCCUUAUGGAUUCUCAGUCAUUCAUUCCAGUAUUCAUUUCAACAUUGGCCAUAAUUCUUGAUUUAUGAUUCUAGGAAACUUUACAAUCUAAAUUUUCAAUUCAAAUCAGUGUACUCACUAAAUACUUCUCCUAGUCUUAUCAGCACCUCUGAAAAAGUCCUUUAGAAGAUCAUUCACUUGAUUAUUAACAUUAUAAAAAUAAAGCAGAGUCAGAUGGAAAACUGGAAAUCCACAGAAAAGAAAAAAAAAACAGAAAAAAGAAUAAAAGACACAAGUAAUAACACAGACAUGACUGUUCAGUUUAGGUGUAUAUUUUUCAUUAUGAGUGUAUGUAUAAUUUAUAUGUAAAUUUUAAAAUAUAAGUAAUAUCAAUGUUAUUUACAUAUAUUCAAAACAUAGUUAGUUACAUCAUCUCUGGUGUACGAAUUUUACCAUUUAGCAAUAUGCCAUUAAAAAUGUAUCCUGGGGGUUGGGAGAAGGGGGGUGGGGUUAUGGACA
Long non-coding RNA from Neogale vison (American mink), 2343 nucleotides. RefSeq lists it as uncharacterized. Lineage: Eukaryota; Metazoa; Chordata; Mammalia; Carnivora; Mustelidae. The record is from RefSeq and is a predicted model, not a curated record. The transcript is spliced from 8 exons.